This 3084-nucleotide ribosomal RNA is filed under the name Triticum aestivum (bread wheat). Its description in RNAcentral is "partial small subunit ribosomal RNA". The record is from RNAcentral. Lineage: Eukaryota; Viridiplantae; Streptophyta; Magnoliopsida; Poales; Poaceae.
AUGUCGUCCGGCGACGAUGACCGCGUCACCUUCUCCAAGCACCACCACCGGGAUAAGGACAAGGACCGCGACCACUCCUCCUCUCGCCGCCACCGCGACAAGGACCGCCCCUCCUCUCGCCACCACCGCGACGACAGGGACGGUGAGCGGGAGCGGGAGCGGGACCGAGAUCGCGACCGCCACCACAGAGACAAGGAGCGGGAUCGAGAGGAGCGGAAGGCGCGGGAGCGGGCGGAGAAGGAGCGCGAGAAGGAGGAGAAGAGGGAGAAGGAAAGGGAGAGGGAGAGGGAGGAGAGGGAGAUGGAGAAGGAGAGAGAGCGGGCGCGUCGUCGCGAGGAGCGGGAUAGGGAGAAGGAGAAGUCGAGGAGGCGGGAGGCGGUCGAUGAGGAGAACGAAGAUCGUGACCGUGACCGCAAGCGCCGCCGCCGGUCCUUGCACCGGCACCACCACCGUGAUGUGGAGCCAGAGGAGACACCGCUGUCAAGGGAGGAGGAGGAGGAUGCAGAGGAGGUGGAGAGACGGCGGCAGAAGAAGGAGGAAGACAUGGAGGCUGAGCAGCAGCGGCUUGAUGACGAGAUGGAGCGGCGCCGCCGCCGUGUUAAGGAGUGGCAGGAGAAGAAGCGCCGUGAGCAGCAGCAGGAGGAUGGUGCCAGUGGUGGUGCAGCUGCCAUUGAGGCUGAUGGUGGAGGCAAGUCUGGGAAGAAGUGGACUUUGGAUGGUGAGGAGUCGGAUGAGGAGGAUGUGAAGAAGUUGGAGGAGAAUGCUGGCACUGGUGCCAUGGAUGUUGACCUACCAAACAUGGAUAAUGGCAGUAACAGUGGGGCUGGUUUGGAAGAGGAUGAGAUUGAUCCCCUCGACGCGUUUAUGGACUCUAUGGUGUUGCCAGUGGUUGCAAAGCUCGAGAGUGCCACAACAGCGACGGAGAGCGUGCUUGCUGACAAUGCAGGUGGUUUGAAUGACAAGGGUGUGAAGGAUGCCACAAGUAAUGAGGAUAAGAAAAGACAGAUGAUGGCAAUUGGGAGAAUUAUGCAAGGGGAUGACUCUGACUCAGAUUAUGAUGAUGCUAAUAAUGGCGAGGCUGGAUCAGAUGAUGAGGAUGAUGCAGAGUUCAUAAAACGUGUCAAGAAGACGAAGGCAGAGAAGUUGGUUAUUGUUGACCAUUCCAAGAUUGAUUACCAACCAUUCCGGAAGAAUUUCUAUAUUGAGGUGAAAGACAUAAAAAAUAUGCCAGCCGAGGAAGCGGCGGCCUACCGGAAGCUGUUGGAGCUCAAGGUGCACGGGAAAGACGUUCCGAAGCCAAUAAAGACAUGGAUCCAGAGUGGUCUGACAAGGGUUGCAAAGACUGGAUCUGGGAAGACUCUAGCAUUUGUCUUGCCCAUGCUGAGGCAUGUCAAAGAUCAGCCGCCUGUUGUGCCUGGGGAUGGCCCUAUUGGGCUUAUUAUGGCUCCUACGAGAGAGCUUGUGGUGCAAAUAUAUUCAGACAUAAAAAAGUUCUCCAAGGUGCUUGGCAUCAACUGUGUUCCUAUAUACGGAGGUUCUGGGGUUGCCCAGCAGAUCAGUGAACUGAAGAGGGGUGCUGAAAUUGUUGUUUGUACACCAGGCAGGAUGAUUGAUAUCCUUUGCACUAGCAGUGGCAAGAUUACUAACCUUCGAAGAGUGACUUUCUUGGUGCUGGAUGAAGCUGAUAGGAUGUUUGAUAUGGGUUUUGAGCCUCAGAUUACUCGAAUCGUUCAGAACACCCGUCCGGAUAGGCAGACUGUCCUUUUCUCUGCCACUUUUCCACGGCAGGUGGAGAUACUGGCACGUAAAGUGCUGACGAAGCCUGUUGAGAUUCAGAUGGGUGGGAGGAGUGUCGUGAACAAAGAUAUCACACAACUGGUGGAAGUGCGACCAGAAAGCGAGAGGUUCUUUAGGCUGUUGGAAUUGCUUGGGGAGUGGUUUGCAAACGGAAAAAUUCUUGUUUUUGUACAGUCGCAAGAUAAGUGUGAUUCUCUACUGAAAGAGCUGUUCCAGCACGGAUACCCAUGUUUGUCUCUACAUGGUGGAAAGGAUCAAAAUGACCGUGAAUCAACUCUUGCUGAUUUCAAGAGUAAUGUAUGCAGCUUGCUGAUUGCUACCAGUGUUGCUGCAAGGGGUUUAGAUGUGAAAGAUCUUGAGCUUGUUGUCAACUAUGAUGUUACUAAUCAUUAUGAGGACUAUGUUCAUCGGGUCGGGCGAACGGGUCGCGCUGGUAGGAAGGGCUGUGCUGUGACUUUUAUUUCUGAGGAAGAGGAACGCUAUGCACCAGACCUUGUUAAGGCUUUGGAGCUAUCUGAACAGGCCGUUCCAGAGGACCUGAAAGCCUUAGCGGAUCGAUUUAUGUCAAAGGUCAAGCAGGGAACAGAGCAGGCCCAUGGAACAGGCUAUGGUGGAAGUGGUUUCAAGUUCAAUGAAGAAGAGGAGGAAGCACGGAAAUCUGCAAAAAGGGCUCAGGCAAGGGAAUAUGGAUAUGAGGAGGACAAGUCAGAUUCAGAUUCUGACGAUGAAGGAGGUGUGCGUAAACAGGGAGGUGAUGUUGCAGCACAAGCUAUUGCUGCUGCUCAAGCUGCCGCUGCUUUGGCUGCUGCCAGGGCUACUAGUAAUGCCCAGCAGCAAGUACCAGCCACAACGGCUGGCUCCUUGCUUCCUCUGCCGGUCGCACCUAACCAACAAAACAAUGAAGCCACACAACGAGCACUUGAUGCUGCAUACAACUUACAGAAAAAUUUGGCAAGGAUACAGGCCCAUGCAGUUCCAGAACACUAUGAAGCGGAGCUUGAGAUUAAUGAUUUCCCACAAAAUGCUCGCUGGAAGAUCACUCACAAAGAGACAUUGGUUCCCAUUCAGGAAUGGACUGGAGCGGCAAUUACUACAAGGGGAACCUUUAUUCCUCAAGGCAAAAUUGUUGGUGCUAACGAGCGCAAGCUGUACCUGUUUAUUGAGGGCCCCAAUGAGUCUUCCGUCAAGAAGGCGAAAGCAGAAUUGAAGCGUGUCCUUGAGGAUUGUGCCAACCAGGCACUGAAUCUUCCAGGUUCUGCUCAAACCGGAAAGUAUUCUGUUCUUUGA